RNAcentral lists this ribosomal RNA (1031 nucleotides) under Monodonta labio. RNAcentral's name for it is "12S ribosomal RNA". The record is from RNAcentral. Lineage: Eukaryota; Metazoa; Mollusca; Gastropoda; Trochida; Trochidae.
AUUUUCCCCAGAACACCUUCCGGUACCCUCACUAUGUUACGACUUAUCUCAUCUUCCGACGAGAGCGACGGGCGAUUUGUACGCACCUUAGCACUAAUAUUUCACAUGAACUCUCUACUUAUACAAUAUUUUCUACAAAUUACUCCCAAGUCCGCCUUUAAUCAAAAUUUACAAUUCGAUAUCCGUCAACAAAUAAUUAUUGUAACCCAUCUCUACUUUUACAUUAGCUGCACCUUGAUCUGACAUCAAAAGCAUUCUCCUCUUACUAAACCUUAAAAAGCUACCACUAUUUCCAAAUUUAGUAGUUGAACAACCACUUUUACCGACAACUACCCACCUCUUAAAGGUAAUCUGACGACGACGGUAUACAAGCUGUGUUUCUAAGUAACCCUAAACACAUGCAAUUAAAAGUAAGCUAAAUCGUGGACCAUCAAUUACAGGACAGGUUCCCCUGGAAAGAAUUAAGGCACCGCCAAGUUUUUUGGGUUUUAAGCAUCCUGCUCUACAGAACUAACAACAGCUACACAGCAGCUCGUAAUACCCAAGUAAACACUCUCAAGAAUCAAAGUUUACAGAAUGAAUAACGGGGUAUCUAAUCCCGGUCUCCCACCACUCUCUCGGGGCCUCAGAAAGAUGAAAGUGCAAAAACAACUUAUUUUAUUCAAAUUCCACCUCUCUAAAACAAAUCAAACCUUCAGCUCUUUCUCAAUAAUUUUCUUAACCCCCUUUUUUACUAAAAUCUCUUGACUCGACCUGUUUGUCUAACCGCGGUGGCUGGCACAAACUUUACCAGGCCUAAUGGCUAAUUACUGGCACAAACAAAAAUUCAUUUACCAAUCUCCAAUACUGGCGUCAGUCACCCGUGUGAAAAAUCUUAACGUAAUAUCCCUAAAAUUAUGUUAUACUCAACCAUGCAAACAAGUUUUUAACCCCCAAUGCAUCGCCCUGAGCUCUUACUCACCGGACCCCGUAAAGUACCAUGUAUUUGACUAUAGCCAAAACCAAGACUAUGGACCAAAACCAAAUCCGCC